Callorhinchus milii (elephant shark) is the source of this 134-nucleotide small nucleolar RNA. The record is from Ensembl. Lineage: Eukaryota; Metazoa; Chordata; Chondrichthyes; Chimaeriformes; Callorhinchidae.
UGCAUUCAAUGAUAUCUGCACCCAUCAGAACUUCCUGAUGAGGUGUUCAAAGUAGUGCUAUAUGAUAUCAGGGUCUGGCAUCGUUGGUUUACCUGCUAUCUGUGCUUGUUAACCUAGUAACUGCUGAUACAUGA